ACUGGUUGAGACCACUGACCCUUCAACUGGGUCUGCAUGGGUGCCUGAGAGGUGGCCUUUUGAUAUCAGAGGGUCAAAAACUCCACCCUCAAGAUCAUGCUAAUGUUGCCAUUUUCUGUACAUAUGUCCUGUGAACUGUUCGUCCACCUCAUCUCUUGGUGACCUAGUGCGUAAAUCUUUUCUCUUUUGCAGAAUCUAUGUCACAGUGAUUGAUUUACUGCAUAUGAGCAGAAUGAACCUGGACCUGGCCAGUAUCAUUAAGGGUCUCACUUCAUCACCUAGACUGGAGUACAGUAGCACAGUUGCAGCUUCCUACAUCUUGACUUCCUGGGUUCCAGUGAUCCUCCCCCUUCAGCCUCUCAGGAGUUUUGGAGAGUCAUUGCAUGAUGAUCUCUGAAGAUUCUACUGAAAUCUAAUCAAUAUGUCCUCACUGCCAUCAAUUCAAAAGAACUUGCUAAGAAGGCUCUAGAGACUUGUACUCUCAGAUAGUGAAAGUGAGAUGAUGUGUAGUGAAAGUCAUAUAUAGGUUGUAAAUUGCAAUAUGGAAUUCCCAAAUGCUGAAUUCAUUUUAUCUCUUCAGAAAUAAAAACCUGUUAAAGACUCA
Pan troglodytes (chimpanzee) is the source of this 604-nucleotide long non-coding RNA. RefSeq lists it as uncharacterized. The record is from RefSeq and is a predicted model, not a curated record. The transcript is spliced from 3 exons. Lineage: Eukaryota; Metazoa; Chordata; Mammalia; Primates; Hominidae.